Molecule: ribosomal RNA, 1390 nt
Filed under: uncultured bacterium
Lineage: Bacteria
Description: bacterial SSU rRNA
Rfam family: Bacterial small subunit ribosomal RNA
Source: RNAcentral
GAAUUCGCCCUUAGAGUUUGAUCCUGGCUCAGGACGAACGCUGGCGGCGCGCCUAACACAUGCAAGUCGAACGAGAGAUGAGGAGCUUGCUCUUCAAAUCGAGUGGCGAACGGGUGAGUAACGCGUGAGGAACCUGCCUCAAAGAGGGGGACAACAGUUGGAAACGACUGCUAAUACCGCAUAAGCCCACAGCUUGGCAUCGAGCAGAGGGAAAAGGAGCAAUCCGCUUUGAGAUGGCCUCGCGUCCGAUUAGCUAGUUGGUGAGGUAACGGCCCACCAAGGCGACGAUCGGUAGCCGGACUGAGAGGUUGAACGGCCACAUUGGGACUGAGACACGGCCCAGACUCCUACGGGAGGCAGCAGUGGGGAAUAUUGCACAAUGGGGGAAACCCUGAUGCAGCGACGCCGCGUGGAGGAAGAAGGUCUUCGGAUUGUAAACUCCUGUUGUUGAGGAAGAUAAUGACGGUACUCAACAAGGAAGUGACGGCUAACUACGUGCCAGCAGCCGCGGUAAAACGUAGGUCACAAGCGUUGUCCGGAAUUACUGGGUGUAAAGGGAGCGCAGGCGGACCGGCAAGUUGGAAGUGAAAACUAUGGGCUCAACCCAUAAAUUGCUUUCAAAACUGCUGGCCUUGAGUAGUGCAGAGGUAGGUGGAAUUCCCGGUGUAGCGGUGGAAUGCGUAGAUAUCGGGAGGAACACCAGUGGCGAAGGCGACCUACUGGGCACCAACUGACGCUGAGGCUCGAAAGCAUGGGUAGCAAACAGGAUUAGAUACCCUGGUAGUCCAUGCCGUAAACGAUGAUUACUAGGUGUUGGAGGAUUGACCCCUUCAGUGCCGCAGUUAACACAAUAAGUAAUCCACCUGGGGAGUACGACCGCAAGGUUGAAACUCAAAGGAAUUGACGGGGGCCCGCACAAGCAGUGGAGCAUGCGGUUUAAUUCGAAGCAACGCGAAGAACCUUACCUGAUCUUGACACCCCGAUGACCGCUUCGUAAUGGAAGCUUUUCUUCGGAACAUCGGUGACAGGUGGUGCAUGGUUGUCGUCAGCUCGUGUCGUGAGAUGUUGGGUUAAGUCCCGCAACGAGCGCAACCCCUAUCUUCAGUAGCCAGCAGGUUAAGCUGGGCACUCUGGAGAGACUGCCAGGGAUAACCUGGAGGAAGGUGGGGAUGACGUCAAAUCAUCAUGCCCCUUAUGACCAGGGCUACACACGUGCUACAAUGGCGUAAACAAAGAGAAGCGAACUCGCGAGGGUAAGCAAAUCUCAAAAAUAACGUCUCAGUUCGGAUUGUAGUCUGCAACUCGACUACAUGAAGCUGGAAUCGCUAGUAAUCGCAGAUCAGGAUGCUGCGGUGAAUACGUUCCCGGGUUUUGCACACACCGCCCGUCA